Molecule: non-coding RNA, 80 nt
Organism: Phthorimaea operculella (potato tuberworm)
Lineage: Eukaryota; Metazoa; Arthropoda; Insecta; Lepidoptera; Gelechiidae
Source: the annotation of a GenBank genome assembly
GCCGCUGUAGCCCAGUUGGUAGAGGCGUCGCCAGUAGAUACAGUUGGCGAAGGUGGUUGGUUCAAAUCCAGCCUGCGGUG